CAUUUUGAAGAGGCUCCUCUCCGGAGUGUUUGAACAGGAAGGCGGACAUGUUGACUAGCCUGUGGGACAAAAUCGGGGCAUCGUCUGCAGCUUUCCCCACAUCGGUGACUAAAAACACAUCGGAAUUCAGCUCGUGCCCGAGCCGGAUCGGAGGGAUCACGUCGCUGGGGCCAGGAUACGGUUGACAUUCGGUGACAGCGGCGGCGGGCGGUUUAUUUAUUUAUUUUCUAACCGUUAAAAGACUUCCUCGACAUUUGGAAAGAAGCAGAAGUCCCCCCCCCCCCACACUUUUCCCCAACACUUCUUCUUUUGAGCUGUCACGUUAGUUUUUGUCGCCCUCUCUUGCGAGGACCCGGCACGGACAUGGGAACGGGCCCGGACUAACUCCGUCGAUGUUUUAAAUGCAUUUGCUGUUGUUCGGAUGCAGCGACUUUUGAAGCCCUUCUCCGCUGUUGGCAUCCUGCGGAGGCUGACUAAUCUUCGACCGUCGCGCUGCUCCUGAAAGUUGUUUGCCAGCCACAUUUGGAGGGGGACUCUGUAUAAAACAUGUGGCUUUUGUACAUCCAACGGAACCUCAAACGUUUUAUCUCGUGUGCAAGAUCGAGGAGAACGAUGUAUUGUCUUUAAAAGUUCCUCCAAGAACGACAAAAAACCAAACGAACAUCGGGCUAGCGAGCUAGCGAGCUGUCGCUGGCGGCUAACGCUAGCUCGCCACUCAGUUUGCCUCCCUCUUUUUUAUUCCCUUGAAAACAAGAUACGAGGGGACUUCAUUCCGCGUUAAAAAUGUCUUCCGGGGAAAGUAUGGAGGCUCGGUUUGGAAAAAUCGACGCUAUGUUGAAGGACCCCAAGUCGGAGAUCAACACGGAUUGUCUUCUGGACGGCCUAGAUGCGCUGGUGUACGACCUGGACUUUCCUGCCCUAAGGAAAAACAAGAGCAUUGACAACUUCUUGAAUAGAUAUAAGGAUACCAUUAGUAAAAUCCGUGACCUACGGAUGAAAGCGGAAGACUAUGAGGUGGUCAAAGUCAUUGGGAGAGGUGCAUUUGGGGAGGUGCAGCUGGUGAGGCACAAAGCCACAUGCAAAGUGUAUGCCAUGAAGUUGCUGAGCAAGUUUGAGAUGAUCAAAAGGUCAGACUCUGCUUUCUUUUGGGAGGAGAGGGACAUCAUGGCUUUUGCCAACAGCUCCUGGGUCGUGCAGCUUUUCUUCGCGUUCCAAGAUGACCGCUACCUCUACAUGGUGAUGGAAUACAUGCCCGGUGGGGACUUGGUCAACCUCAUGAGCAAUUACGACGUCCCGGAGAAGUGGGCUCGCUUUUAUACAGCCGAGGUGGUGCUGGCGCUGGAUGGUAUCCAUGCCAUGGGCUUCAUUCAUAGGGAUGUGAAGCCUGACAAUAUGUUGUUGGACAAAGCGGGCCACUUAAAACUGGCAGAUUUUGGCACCUGCAUGAAAAUGAACAAGGAUGGUAUGGUACGAUGCGACACGGCGGUAGGAACACCGGACUACAUUUCACCUGAGGUACUGAAAUCCCAAGGAGGAGAUGGCUACUAUGGCAGGGAGUGCGACUGGUGGUCGGUGGGAGUGUUCCUGUAUGAAAUGCUAGUUGGCGACACGCCGUUUUACGCAGACUCUCUGGUCGGCACCUACAGCAAAAUAAUGAACCACAAAAACGCGCUGACCUUCCCCGAUGACAGCGACAUCUCCAAUGAUGCCAAGAACCUCAUCUGUGCCUUCCUGACGGACAGGGAGGUCCGCCUAGGCCGGAACGGUGUGGAUGAGAUCAAGAGGCACCCUUUCUUCAAGAAUGAUCAGUGGACGUGGGAGAACAUCAGAGACACGGCUGCCCCAGUGGUGCCCGAGCUGAGCAGUGAUGUUGACACCAGUAACUUUGAUGACAUAGAAGAGGACCGUGGCGAAGAAGAGACUUUUCCAAUACCAAAGGCCUUUGUGGGCAACCAGCUGCCCUUUGUGGGCUUCACUUACUACAGCAAUCAGCAUCCUCUGCGCAGCUCCACUUCUGCCUCAAAGGCAAGUGACAAACGUAGCAGCUCCACAAAGGAGGACAAAAGUCAUUUGGAGAACCUGCAGAAAAGAGUCUACCAGCUGGAAGAGCAGCUCCACAGUGAGAUGCAGCUGAAGGAUGAGUUGGAGCAAAAAUGCAGGACCACAAACACCAAGAUUGAAAAGAUCAUGAAAGAACUGGAUGAGGAGGCCAACUUGAGGAAGAGUGUGGAGGCGAGUAUGUCCCUGCUUGAGAAGGAUAAGAUUAUGCUGCAGCAUAGAUUUACAGAGUCGCAAAGGAAAGCCGACCAGGAGGCAGAGAAGAGACGCAAUUUGGAGAACGAGGUGUCGACUCUGAAGGAGCAACUUGAAGACAUGAGGAAGAUUAGCCAGAACUCGCAGGCCUCAAACGACAAGAUUGCCCAGCUUCAGAGUCAGCUGGAGGAGGCUAAUGACCUCCUGCGCGCCGAGUCGGACACGGCGGCGAGGCUGCGGAAGAAUCACACAGAGGUGGCCAAGUCCAUGAGCCAGCUGGAAAGCUUGAACCGUGAGCUGCAGGAGAGGAGCCGCGCCGCCGACGGCGAGAAGGCCCAGUUGGAGAAGGAACUCCUGCUCCUCCAGAGCACCUUGGACUCGGAGAGGAGGAACUACAGCCAAGACUCGGAGGAGAUUCGUGAGCUGCAGGCGAGGAUGAUGGGGUUGCAGGAGGACAACAAAAACUUGAAGCUCACUGUCUCCAAAGUGGAGACGGAGCGCAAACAGGCCCAGGAGAGAAGCAAUAACUUGGAGAAGGAUAAGAACAACCUAGAGAUAGACCUGAACUACAAACUGAAGACCCUGCAACAGCGACUGGAGCAGGAGCAGACUGAACACCGGGUGACACGUGCACAACUGACUGACAAAUAUGAGUCCAUUGAGGAGGCCAAAUCGGCCGCUAUGAACGCUGUUCAGGUGAAGAUGUCGGAGGAGAACGGGGCGAGGAUGCGAGCAGAGAGCCGGGUGGUGGAGGUGGAGAAGCAGUGCUCCAUGCUGGAGUUUGACCUCAAACAGUCGGUGCAGAAAAUGGAGCAGCUGAUGAAGCAGAAGGAAAGGCUAGAGGAUGAUGUGAAGAAUCUACGGAUACAGGCGGAACAGGAGUCGAGCAAGCGCGUGCUGGCGCAGAAUGAGCUGAAGAGCCGGCUACAGGAGGUAGAUCGGCUGCGCUGUUCUGAGAAGCAGCUCAAGCAGGAGAUCAACACGGCGCUGGAGAGUAAACGCUCUUUGGAGUUUCAACUUGCGCAGCUGACAAAGCAAUACAGAGGCAACGAAGGACAGAUGAGGGAACUUCAGGACCAGCUCGAGGCCGAACAGUAUUUUUCUACACUUUACAAAACUCAGGUCAAAGAGCUCAAGGAGGAAAUAGAAGAAAGGAACCGGCAGGUCCAAGAAGCUCAUAAAAAGGUGCAGGAGCUGUGCAGUGAAAGGGAGUCCCUGUCUGCCCAGUUGGAUCUGACAGUGACAAAGGCGGAGUCGGAGCAGCUGGCGCGAGCGCUGCAGGAGGAGCAGUACUUUGAGCUCAGCCAAGAAAGCAAAAAGACCGUCACGAGACACAAGCAGGAACUCGUCGAUAAGGAGGCCACGAUUGCACGACUUGAGGAGUCCUGUAAAACUCUGACCAAAGAUGUGGAGGGUCUCGCCAAAGAGAAGGCAGAGUUGAGCGAGAAGCUCAGCACUCAGGAGGAAGAGUAUGCCACUCAGAAGGAGGAGAUUACAAAUGCAAUCAAGGCCAACUAUGAGAAGGUCCUCCACACAGAGCGUACGCUGAAGACGCAGGCGGUGAACAAGCUGGCAGAGAUCAUGAACCGCAAGGACAUGAAGCUAGACCAGAAAAAGAAGGGCAGCACUGCCGACCUGCGUAAGAAGGAGAAGGAGAACCGCAAGCUGCAGCUGGAGCUCAACCAGGAGAAGGAGAAAUUCAACCACAUGGCCAUCAAGUAUCAGAAGGAGCUGAGUGAGAUGCAGGCACAACUGGCCGAGGAGUGCACGUACCGCAACGAGCUCCAGAUGCAGCUGGACAGCAAGGAGAGCGACAUCGAGCAGCUGCGCGAGAAGCUGAACGACCUGCAGCAGCGCAUGGACAACUCCAGCAUCACAAGCUUGCUGACGGACGAUACGGACAGCAACAUUGUGGAAUCCAGACUGGAAGGAUGGCUGUCUAUUCCUAACCGCACAAAUAUCAAGCGAUACGGAUGGAAGAAGCAGUAUGUUGUGGUGAGCAGCAAGAAGAUUUUAUUUUACAAUGAUGAGCAAGAUAAGGAGCAGUCCAACCCUUCCAUGGUACUAGAUAUCGACAAACUUUUUCACGUGAGACCAGUGACACAAGGAGACGUGUACCGGGCCGAGACUGAAGAGAUUCCAAGAAUAUUCCAAAUUCUGUACGCCAACGAGGGCGAGUGCCGGAAAGAGGCCGACAUGGAGACGGUCCCUCAGGGUGACAGGAACUGCCUGCCACACAAGGGCCAUGAGUUCAUCCCCACCCUGUACCACUUCCCCUCUAACUGCGAGGCGUGUUCCAAGCCGCUGUGGCACGUCUUCAAGCCGCCGCCGGCGCUCGAGUGCCGUCGAUGCCACGUCAAGUGCCACAAGGACCACCUGGACAAGAAGGAGGAUGUCAUCGCCCCUUGCAAAGUAAACUACGACGUGACCUCAGCCCGGGACAUGCUCUUGUUGGCGCUGACCCAAGAUGAGCAGAAGAAGUGGAUCGGCCAUCUUGUGAAGAAAAUCCCUAAAACCCCACCGACCACGUUUUCCAGAGCUUCGCCUCGCUCCAUGUCCACUCGGCCUGGACCCAACCAGUCCUUCCGCAAAAACCCUAAAAGCAGUUCGACAAAACUGAGCCGAGCGCAGUCCAACCUCCAUGCGGCAGACGCAACAUCCAGCACUUGUUGACAGGAGAUGCUUCGCGAAAGUGCGGAUGUGUGUGUGUGAUUUUUUUAGUCUAUUUAUUAUUAUUAUUACGAGACAUUUGGUGCUCGCUUUGUUGGUCGGUUGGUUGCCGCCUUGGGCUCACAACUGGGAUUCUUCUGCUCUUGACACCAAGGCUGAAUUUACACUGGAGGUCCAAGUGUCCGAUCCUGAUUUAAUGCCUGUAACAUUUUUUUUUUUUUUUCUUUCGGGGGUCAGCUGGAAUUUAUCCCGACUUCACCCGGAACUGUCCGCCAGCCAAUCAAACGGCGCAUAACAACAAUAAAUCACAAUGAUAACUAUGGACAGUUAAGAGUCGCUGCUUCAAUUUGCGCUGACUUUUAUAUUUGCAUUGUUGAAAUAAGGCAUGCAAGCUCACAGGAAACGGACUUAGAGGGACUUUAUGUUGCGACAUCACACAAAUGCGACAUUAAUACCAGUUCAUUGAUUUUAGAGGAAACGAAGCGGCGCGACUGAAUGUUGCUGACGUAUGUCAACAAACUUGCAUGUAAAUGACGAUUUAGCAAGUGCGGAAAAACUAUCACGUCCGUUUUAUUUGUGGAACAAGAAAUUCAUCUUGUAAAGGCCUAUUUAUAUUCACAUUUGGAAGAGGCCAACCUGGCAAUAUCAGAUUCCACGUGUCAUCUCUUUACAUUGCCGUGGCAAAGAUCUGAGUUGUGCCACUUGAGAGCAAAAAAUCAGGGAUUGGGUCACUUGGUAAUUUGGUGUAAAAUCAACUGCGUGUUAAGUGAGACUAACUGGUGCACAUAAAAUGUUUUUUUUUGUUUGUUUGUUUUUUGUUUUUUAAAUUCGCCUUUUACAGUGAGACAGAAAAGCUGAUGAAGGGUGUUGCUCUUGUAUGGGCUACUAACCACGUUCAAGGGUUGUUUUUUUUUUUUGUUUCCUUUACUGGACACCUGUCUCUGCUCUUUCUUUGCAGCUAACCGUCUCAACCGUCGGACUUGUUUUUCCCUGGACUAUUCUGUACUUUCCCCUCCUUGUUCAUCUUCAAACAUGGACAAAAUGUUGAUGGUGAUAUUAUUAAACAAGACGUUAUGGACCCGCCGCCCUAUCUACUCUGCAGCUCGUCAUCACCACGUUGCUACAAGACAAAGGCGUCCUCGGCCCAAAAGCGGAGGUGACACAUGGAGAUUUCUUUUUAGGGGGUUUUGCCGGGGCAGUGUUGAGUUUUCAGGUACUGUCAUCCAGGUGUUCCAGACGUGCCAUGAGGGCUUGUAUCUUCAGGGCUGGAAAAAUAGAAGGAAAAAAAAUUGCCUGACAACAUCCUUAAAUGCAAGCAGACUUCUGUUUCCGUUGGAUAAAUAUGACUGAUGCCUUCAUCUAAUCCUAUCUGGCCUUUUUUUUUCCCUUUUUUAAUUCUUAUCACUCUCCAAGUCAGUUUAUCAGGUUUGGAAAUGAGUAUUGGGACACGAGUAUUAGAUGUAUUAAGAUCAUUUUAAAUCUAUGCAUUAUUUUAUUAUUAUUCUAAUUAUUUUUAUUGCUCCAAGCCAUGAGGAAACUUCCAUUGUAAUGGCGUAUAGGAGUCCCUCAAACUUCCAUCAUUUUUGUUUUUUUGGUUUUUCUGUUUAUUUGGUACAAUGUCUCGUGAUAUAUAUAUAUUUUUCUUGCUUGUAUUUUUUUUUAUAAUGUAUUGCCUUACAUUGAUUCCUAGAUAAAUGGUUCAAAAAGGAAAAACAUUAAGUUAACAAAUGUAAAACUGCACUGUUUGAAUUGUACAUUAUUUAAAGAAGACUAAACAGGUGUAGCAUUUGGCCCACCUAGUGCCUUAAUAACCGUUGAAUAUUGAUUUUACUGCCAUAUCUUUUUUGUUUCUUCCUCCUCCUUCCAAAACCAGACAAAUGCUUCCAUCUUUCAAUUUUUUUUUUUUUUUUUACUAAUUUAAAUUGCCAUAUGUGGUUUUAUUGCCACUUUUUUUGGUUUGAGUAUGUAGAGCAGGAGUGGGGAACACACAUUUGAUCCGGCCACAAAACAUUUUAACAAACAAAUGCUUGUAAUAUAUAAUACUAAUAAACAUUUGUUUGAAUGUCAUAAAUUUAUUGAAAGGGUUCCCCGCCGCUGAUAUAAAGUGUAUAUAUUACAUCACCUGUUUUUGAAUGUGUUGCAAUGAAGUUGGCAUGUAAAAAAAAAAAGAAUUAAAAAAAAGCGCCCCAUAAUCAACUCAUUUGACAAAUUUCGGGAUCAUGUACUUAAACAAAUGUUCGUCAAAAGCAAAGUAUUCCAGAUCCUGUUAAUCCACCCCCAUCUGCAAUGUAAAUAAUGAGAGACAUAUGCAUUAUGGAAUUACCUCUGCAAUCUUUUUUUCUAUAUUUUUAAAUCAUUUUUUCCCCCCCAUUCAGUUGAAAGAGGAAAAAAAGCACUGGAACUCUGAUAAACUCUGGUCUUGGAUAAUAAGUUGCAUGGUUUAUUUGCAUUGGAGUCCGCACUGAUGGAUAUGUCAAUAAACAUAUCUUUAUCAUUCA
Molecule: RNA transcript, 7421 nt
Organism: Hippocampus comes (tiger tail seahorse)
Lineage: Eukaryota; Metazoa; Chordata; Actinopteri; Syngnathiformes; Syngnathidae
Gene: rock1
Gene name: Rho-associated, coiled-coil containing protein kinase 1
Exons: 34
Source: RefSeq, a predicted model, not a curated record